Tigriopus californicus is the source of this 1710-nucleotide long non-coding RNA. RefSeq lists it as uncharacterized. The transcript is spliced from 3 exons. The record is from RefSeq and is a predicted model, not a curated record. Lineage: Eukaryota; Metazoa; Arthropoda; Copepoda; Harpacticoida; Harpacticidae.
CGAAACUUGCCCUUUUCGCGAUCACACAACCUGCUUUCGUGCUUAAGGGGAGUAAAGAGAGGACAUCCUCUGGAAUAGUGAAAAAGGAUUCGAUUUUAUAGUAACUUUCGAACAAGGAUAGCGCUAAAUUGAUGUCGCAACAAACCUCGUUCGACAACACCACCCGUGAAUUAGCCCAAAGGUGUUUCAAGUUCUAUGCGAGGAAGAAUAUUUAACAAACAAUGGACUCGUUUCACAGAAUGAUACAACGAUAUAGAAACUAUUCCCCCAACAAAUAUAAGAGUAUGUAAACAGGGCAUCGUUUUUUUUUUCAACUUUGAUCUCAUUGAUAGUGUCAUUGGGGUGGUUUUUUUUUUCAACUUGGCCACCCUUAAACCCAAAGCGAACAUGUUAAAGACGGGAAUGGGGAAAUUUUCAAAUGAGUGGAACAAAAUCCUAAAAUUUGUGUCCACGAUGAAAAGUGAUUGUCAGCCAAGAUGAUCUCCACGUCUAUAUUUGCAUUUGGAGGGCAAUGAAUGAAAGCUAAUUUCCAUUGAAUACGAGUGUAGUAGGCGAGAGCAUCCCCAAUCCUUGGUUAGCCGGCCACCCUCCCGGAAAAAAAAUCCAUUGGUCUGUGAUUUUUGUCGGCAAGGCAAAGCUCUCAAGCCCAAAGAGAUCUCGAACCAUCAGUCUUUGUUCAUCAUUGAGUGUCACCUUGUGGCGGGAUCGAUUGGAAAAAGCGUCAGUUACCACAAUCCAAGCCAACCACCAACCACCAACCACCCCCGGUUCCCCCGGUUCUUGACACAUGAUUGUGGACGGGAAACGAACGCACUCACUCUUCAAGGCUUGGACCAAGGGGGUCGGGAAGGGAAGCACCCGGCGAAAUCAUUACCGAUAUGGAACACGGGCUGCGAAAGAUGACACCACAAUUUUGGUCCAUAUCUCAUAUGGCAUGGUACAUGGCCACCCAUUUACAGCCAGCAGAGAGGCGGAGUGGUUGUGGUUAUUUUUUGUACAGAUGAGAGCUCGUAUCUCUACUUUACCACAUAGCAUGUGUAAAGGGGGCUGAAAUGAGAAAGAAGGAGAGAGAGAGAGAGAGACGGAAAAACCCAUGCAGAUCCACGGCCAACAGAUGGUGACAAUGGGUCUCUUGCUCUUUUCGUUCUCUUGUUCUCUUGCUCGGAGAUGGAACAUUGGGAUAACACACGAACCAACCACCCAACUAUCGGGGACCGCCAAUGAGGUUGGGAACACGGGAAAAUCAUUUUUCUAAGUGGGAGGGAGGGGCAAAACAUGAGAGGAAUGAUGAUUCUACGACUCUGGAAGACAGCCCUAGAAACACACCCCCAACUCGUCUGAAGGAUCUAUGAAAAGUUUCAAUCCUCCAAAUGAGGUUUUCCUGGUGCCCGCCCGAUAUGAGAGUGGAAAAUGUGGUGGCGAUCUAGUAUUAGGGUUCAACUUAAACUCUUUAUGACAUAUGUCAGCCAAUGAAUACCGUUCUUGCUUCGCUUGAUGACAAGAUCUCAUGAACCUAACUCCGUUGAUUCCAUCUAAAACAAGACAUAGGUACUGCAUGAACGAGUCCCCAUUUGAUUGGUGAAAACCAACAACCAGCCUGCAACUCAACUGGUCCAACAUCAGAGAAGCUUCUAACAAGAUCUCCUGUCAACGUAAACUUGUCAAGACAAAGUGAGACCCAUUUUCAGCUUACCUGACCAACUCAGACGA